GAUGAACGCUGGCGGCGUGCCUAAUACAUGCAAGUCGAGCGAACAGACGAGGAGCUUGCUCCUCUGACGUUAGCGGCGGACGGGUGAGUAACACGUGGAUAACCUACCUAUAAGACUGGGAUAACUUCGGGAAACCGGAGCUAAUACCGGAUAAUAUAUUGAACCGCAUGGUUCAAUAGUGAAAGACGGUUUUGCUGUCACUUAUAGAUGGAUCCGCGCCGCAUUAGCUAGUUGGUAAGGUACGGCUUACCAAGGCGACGAUGCGUAGCCGACCUGAGAGGGUGAUCGGCCACACUGGAACUGAGACACGGUCCAGACUCCUACGGGAGGCAGCAGUAGGGAAUCUUCCGCAAUGGGCGAAAGCCUGACGGAGCAACGCCGCGUGAGUGAUGAAGGUCUUCGGAUCGUAAAACUCUGUUAUUAGGGAAGAACAAAUGUGUAAGUAACUAUGCACGUCUUGACGGUACCUAAUCAGAAAGCCACGGCUAACUACGU
This 495-nucleotide ribosomal RNA is filed under the name uncultured bacterium. RNAcentral's name for it is "partial 16S ribosomal RNA". It matches the Rfam family "Bacterial small subunit ribosomal RNA", at positions 28 to 506 of the family's 1533-position model. The record is from RNAcentral.